This 167-nucleotide ribosomal RNA is filed under the name uncultured bacterium. Its description in RNAcentral is "partial 16S rRNA". It matches the Rfam family "Bacterial small subunit ribosomal RNA", at positions 352 to 511 of the family's 1533-position model. The record is from RNAcentral.
CAGUAGGGAAUCUUCCACAAUGGACGAAAGUCUGAUGGAGCAACGCCGCGUGAGUGAAGAAGGUUUUCGGAUCGUAAAACUCUGUUGUUAGAGAAGAACACGAGUGAGAGUAACUGUUCAUUCGAUGACGGUAUCUAACCAGCAAGUCACGGCUAACUACGUGCCAG